Molecule: ribosomal RNA, 253 nt
Filed under: uncultured bacterium
Lineage: Bacteria
Description: partial 16S ribosomal RNA
Rfam family: Bacterial small subunit ribosomal RNA
Source: RNAcentral
UACGUAGGGUGCAAGCGUUAAUCGGAAUUACUGGGCGUAAAGCGUGCGCAGGCGGUGAUGUAAGACAGAUGUGAAAUCCCCGGGCUCAACCUGGGAACUGCAUCUGUGACUGCAUAGCUAGAGUACGGUAGAGGGGGAUGGAAUUCCGCGUGUAGCAGUGAAAUGCGUAGAUAUGCGGAGGAACACCGAUGGCGAAGGCAAUCCCCUGGACCUGUACUGACGCUCAUGCACGAAAGCGUGGGGAGCAAACAGG